CACAAUCCUUUGCAUAUCUGUAGUCCAGGAAAUGGAAACUCCCUCUGAUGGUUACAGUCACAUAGAAUCCUGCUGAAGCCUCAAGAGCAGCCCAGGAACCUCUCCCUUGCUCUAGUGUCAAGGCCUCUCCAUGUCAUGGCCUCUCUGUGUCACCCCUCUUUGAGGGAUGGCUGGCUUUCCUCACAGCCUGACUGCUUCUAGAAGUCAGACUCUUUGCAUGACAGCCCAAGGCUCCCAAGAGUCCCAAGAGAAUAGGACAGAAGUGAUAAUCAUCUUUUGUCCUGAGUUCAGAAGUCACAGUAUCACUUGUUCUCGUUCAAGUUCUAAUGGCAGAAGAGCGUUGGAGAAGAGAGGCCAUUAUAACCACCUUUGGGAAGAAUGUACUCUACAAUAGCAUCCCGUGGGAAACCUGGGGCCACAUUGGAAUUGUGGUAACUCAGAGAGGAGUCCAUGAAGACACUCCUUAAAAAGUUGCAGAGGCAAGGAGGACAAAACCAAAAGCUAGGGACCACAGCGAUCGUUUGUAACUGAAGAAUUGUCAGUGCCCUGAUUCAGCAGUAAUAAGAUACAGCAGGAAUGAUAUUAGAAGAAGCAGAGAAAACUGGAGGGCAGAGAGAUGGCAAAGCUGCAGCAGUGAUUUGGCUGGCUGUUUGAAGCGUGUAUCGUGGUUUCUGUUGGAAAGCGAGUUAUCCUCAGAAAGUCCACAUGGAGCCGGGAGAUAAAACACAAAACAGCCCAGGGCUACAAGUCCCCGGUGAGUGCACAGGUCUAAGGAGCGGCCUCCAGCUGCUCUGCGAACUUCCCUAACAGAUUUCAGCCACCCAGAGAGCACCAAGGUGAGGACGAUGGGAGAAGACCACGUGGCAAGAAGACUCAAGGGGCCUCCACCUGACAACCCAUUGGCAGCUGUCACUAGGCACGAGACCCCUCCCCAGUCGAACUUCGGAUGGGACUUUAAUUCUACCCAAAACUGGAUUUAAGGCCUGCCAGGAGGUGCUGACUCGUGUUGUUUCAAGGCCCUAAAUGGGUGGUCAUUUGUUAUGUGGCAAAACAUCUUUAAUACAGCGGAGUAUCGAGUACCUAA
This is a long non-coding RNA of Rattus norvegicus (Norway rat), 1084 nucleotides long. RefSeq lists it as uncharacterized. The record is from RefSeq and is a predicted model, not a curated record. Lineage: Eukaryota; Metazoa; Chordata; Mammalia; Rodentia; Muridae.